Molecule: ribosomal RNA, 253 nt
Filed under: uncultured bacterium
Lineage: Bacteria
Description: partial 16S ribosomal RNA
Rfam family: Bacterial small subunit ribosomal RNA
Source: RNAcentral
UACGAAGGGGGCUAGCGUUGCUCGGAAUUACUGGGCGUAAAGGGCGCGUAGGCGGCCAGAUUAGUCAGGCGUGAAAGCCCUGGGCUCAACCUGGGGACUGCGCUUGAUACGGUUUGGCUUGAGGACGGAAGAGGCUCGCGGAAUUCCCAGUGUAGAGGUGAAAUUCGUAGAUAUUGGGAAGAACACCGGUGGCGAAGGCGGCGCUCUGGACCGAGACUGACGCUGAGGCGCGAAAGCGUGGGGAGCAAACAGG